Molecule: ribosomal RNA, 468 nt
Filed under: uncultured bacterium
Lineage: Bacteria
Description: partial 16S ribosomal RNA
Rfam family: Bacterial small subunit ribosomal RNA
Source: RNAcentral
GACGAACGCUGGCGGCGUGCUUAACACUUGCAAGUCGAACGGAAAGGCCCUGCUUUUGUGGGGUGCUCGAGUGGCGAACGGGUGAGUAACACGUGAGUAACCUGCCCUUGACUUUGGGAUAACUUCAGGAAACUGGGGCUCAUACCGGAUAGGAGCUCCUGCUGCAUGGUGGGGGUUGGAAAGUUUCGGCGGUUGUGGAUGGACUGGCGGCUUAUCCGCUUGUUUGUGGGGUAGUGGCUUACCAAGGCUUUGACGGGUAGCCGGCCUGGGAGGGUGACCGGCGACAUUGGGACUGCGAUACGGCGCAGACUCCAACGGGAGGCAGCGGGGGGGAAUAUUGCACAGUGGGCGGAAGCCUGAUGCAGCAGCGCCGCGUGCGGGAUGACGGCCUUCGGGUUAUAAACCGCUUUCGCCUGUGACGAAGCGUGAGUGACGGUAAUGGGUAAAGAAGCACCGGCUAACUACGUG